UACGAAGGGGGCUAGCGUUGCUCGGAAUCACUGGGCGUAAAGCGCACGUAGGCGGAUUGUUGAGUCAGGGGUGAAAUCCUGGAGCUCAACUCCAGAACUGCCUUUGAUACUGGCGAUCUUGAGUUCGGGAGAGGUGAGUGGAACUGCGAGUGUAGAGGUGAAAUUCGUAGAUAUUCGCAAGAACACCAGUGGCGAAGGCGGCUCACUGGCCCGAUACUGACGCUGAGGUGCGAAAGCGUGGGGAGCAAACAGG
RNAcentral lists this ribosomal RNA (253 nucleotides) under uncultured bacterium. RNAcentral describes it as "partial 16S ribosomal RNA". It matches the Rfam family "Bacterial small subunit ribosomal RNA", at positions 524 to 776 of the family's 1533-position model. The record is from RNAcentral.